Molecule: ribosomal RNA, 468 nt
Filed under: uncultured bacterium
Lineage: Bacteria
Description: bacterial SSU rRNA
Rfam family: Bacterial small subunit ribosomal RNA
Source: RNAcentral
UAGGGAAUAUUGGACAAUGGGUGAGAGCCUGAUCCAGCCAUGCCGCGUGCAGGAAGAAGGCGUUAUGCGUUGUAAACUGCUUUUUGCCAGGGGAUAAAAAGACCGUGCGCGGUUAAUUGAAGGUACCUGGUGAAUAAGCCACGGCUAACUACGUGCCAGCAGCCGCGGUAAUACGUAGGUGGCAAGCGUUGUCCGGAUUUAUUGGGCUUAAAGGGUGCGUAGGUGGCCCUGUAAGUCAGUGGUGAAAUAUCUCAGCUUAACUGAGAGGGUGCCAUUGAUACUGCAGGGCUUGAGUACAGAUGAGGUAGGCGGAAUUGACGGUGUAGCGGUGAAAUGCAUAGAUAUCGUCAAGAACACCGAUAGCGAAGGCAGCUUACCAAGCUGUAACUGACACUGAGGCACGAAAGUGUGGGGAUCGAAACAGGAUUAGAUACCCCAGUAGUCCCUGAGCGGGCUGGCAAGGCGCAU